Molecule: long non-coding RNA, 3289 nt
Filed under: Canis lupus familiaris (dog)
Lineage: Eukaryota; Metazoa; Chordata; Mammalia; Carnivora; Canidae
Description: lncRNA (ENSCAFG00040009698.1)
Source: RNAcentral
CAGUUUGCAGAAGGGGCUCAACUGUCUUCUGGGAACACACGGGCAUCCUCCCCGCCAGAGCCUGGAGCCAGAGUGCAGGUCACAGGGGUCUUCUCCGCAGGGACCCACACCUGAGCGCGGGGUGCUGAGGGCGUCCUCAGGACUGGAUUGCCAGGUCACCUGGAGCUCGUGAGGCUGCAUGCUCGAGUGUGGUCCCGCCCCUGCCCCCCAGGACCUGUGCUCCCAUCAGGAGAGCCUGUCCAUGGUGGCUGCACCCAGCGACGGCUUCCAUGGGUCCCAGUGGAGGUCCACCUGCCUGUUGCCCACAGAGGAACAGAAGCGGGAUGUCGGUCACCCGGGCAGGGCGACCUUGGACGAGUCCCUGGGUGACAGAUCACCGUGGGAGGAAGAGCUCCUGGGCCAGAUCAGGGCCAUGUCAGACUCGCAGAGGAGCAGAGUGCUGGAGGCGAUCCAGCACCGCAUCGAGGAGCACACCCAGCUCCUCUGGAAGGAGGUGGCCGACCCUGGCAUCCGGGAGCUGCUGGCGCCCUUGAACCUGGAACCCCAGCAGCCUGUGGAGAAGGCCUUCCUCUUCCUGGUUUAUGGGCUGAUCCUCAGAGAGUGUGCCAGUAGCGACCUGGUGAGAAGGCACCUGAUGCGCCUCCUGGAGCUGUCGCACCAGACGGCCGGCCAGCGGGAGGGCAUGGCAGUGGCCAGCGGCAUAGCGUCGUCCUCGCACCUGCAGGAGGUGUGGGCCACGCUGGAGCACCUGGGCCGCACCAGGGUCCUGAGGACUGCAUGCACGUCCCCGGACUACCAGGACAACAUCCUGGAAACCAGCUUCCUCUCGGCGGCCGUCAUGCUUGUGAAAGCCCUGAAGCAGGAGCACAGCACCCGGAGAUACAGAUUCACACAGAUACCAGAGCUUAUCCAGUGUCUCCUGGUGAGGGGCUCGCACGGGGACCCGCCAGCAGGGGCGUCCAGGGCAGCCAGGGCGACGGGGAGACAUCGACCUCAAACCCGGGUCAAGUCCAGGAUCCUGCAGACCUGCCUGCAGAGCCUGUACAUGCUCCCGCCCAUGGAGAUGCUGAAGAGCUGCCACUGUCUGUCCCGUCAGGUGCUGUACCAGAAGUCCAUGCAGGCGCUAGAUCUGCUCCUCCAGACCUUCAUCUCUGAGAACAAGAGCAUGGAUGAGAUGUGCUUCCUCUUGCAGCACACGGAGCCCUGGCUGAAGUCGGACAAGAGCCACGAGUGCAAGCGGGUGGUGCAGACCAUCUUCCUGCUUCUCAAGUACGUGGUGGACUACGUGAAACUCACUGACGAGGCCACCCCCUCCAUGCUGGGCCACCAGAUCGGCCUGCUGAUGCUGCUGUGGCGGGACAGGGACCCGGUCACCCAGAGCCACUCUCGCCAAUGCAUCUACCUCCUCCUGCAGCUUCUGAUCCAGCAGAAGGGGAGCAUGGGGCAGUUCAUGCAUUUGAAUAAAAUGAAGAACUUUGAAGCAAAGGCCCUCCGACGGUCAGAAAUGAAGUUCUACAACCUGGUGAAGGUGGGCGCCUUGGACAGGAGCCUGACGCCGGCCCAGCAUACACAGCUCAUCCUCACCCUCCUGGGAGGGCUCUGCAGCCACGACCACCUGCAGUGUGACCUGGCCUCGCAGCUGCUUCUCAUGAUCUUCCAGAACCAAAGCAUCAAGGUGGAGCAGGUGGCCGAGAUCCUGCAGGGCCUGUUCCAGGAGCUGCCCUCUAUCGUCUUCAAGAACAUCCUGCAGACCAUGAUGAAGGCUGUGACCGUGCUGGGGACUCAGCACACCCAGGAGACAGUCGAGGUGAUGCUGUCCUUGUGCCACCCCUCUGAGAGACAGGUGCUGCCCCUGUGGAAGGCCCUCGCCAACAACAACCAGCUGGCCCGCAAGGUCCUCAUGCUGCUCUACAUGAAGCUAAAACUGCGGCCCCCCAAGGAGCUCGUCAGGCUCAGCCAGCAGGCGGAGCUCAUCUCCCUGCUGGCCCUGGGUACCAUUUAUGAGCUCCUGUACACACGAGAGUACAAGGCCACGGUGCGCUGGGCCUUCGCGGGCAUCCUGGUGGGCCUGCUCACACAGCUCCACUACCUGUUCGAGCUGGACGUGGUGGAGGGCAUCUCGGACUACCAGGAGGACAGCCUGGAAGUGAAGCCUCUCAGCCCCUGCAGGACCUGCUUGGAGGCCCUCAAGGGUCUCUUCUGGACGACCAACUACUGGGAGGUGUUUGCCUAUCUCCAGCUGCUGAGAGGCUGGGAGCUCUUCGAGCACCUGGAAACCUACACGGAGGGGGUGACCCUCUUGGCUCGGGCUAUGGCCCACUACGACUGCGAGGUCAAGGCUGUCUUGGGGCAGGCCGUCAUCUCCCUCAAGAGCUCCGAGGAACGGGACAACAUCGUGGCCAUCCUCGUCAUCACCGAGUUUCUCAACAGCCAAGAGCUCACACAGUACAUGUCCCGGAGAGCCAUGGACAACUUCCUGAGCCUGGGCCUGAGCAGCCCCAACCAGCUGGUGCGCGCCAUGAGCCUGAAGGGCCUCACCAGCAUCCUGAUGGACCCCAAGAAGGUGGUCCUGCUCCGCAAUCAGCUGGCCGGGCUGCUGGACAGCUUCAUGGGGCCCGAGCCCCAGGACCUCAUGGGCCUGAUGGAGAUCCUGGGCGACAUCCUGCACAGCCUGGGCACCCAGGGCAUCGGCGCCACCAGCAUCAGGAUGGCCCAGCACCUGCUGUCACUGUUUGAGGAUGAGCAGGCCCCAGUGCGCGGCGGAGCCAUCUCCCUGUUCGGGGACGUGGUGCACAGCGGCGGCAAGAAGUACCGGCCGGCGCUGAAGAGGCAGGCCUUCCAGGCGCUGGUGCCCCUGCUCUUCCACCUGGUGGACUCCUGCCCCGCGGUGGUCAUGAAGACGAAGCUGACCUUCCUGCGCUGUGCCAUCCUGCUCAAGUGGGAGUUCCGCAAGGAGCUGUUCGGGAAGUUGGCGUGGGGCCAUGGCCUCGGUGCCGAGAACGACAUUUUCAUCUACAUGGUGGAGAGCAACUUCGGCAGCUACCACCAGUUUCUCAUGCAGGCGUUGAUUUACCUGGGCAGCCCCCACAAAAACCUGAAGCGGAUGGCCAUGAAGUUCAUCGGUAGCAGGCUGCCCCCCCUGCCCCCCUCCCGGGGCCCAUCCGUCAGCCCCGGGCUCUCUGCUGCAGACUUGGAGGUCCUGAAGAAGGACUCAGACUCCGUGAGCCGCAGAUUCUACCAGAACUUUCUGGAAGACAUCACUGAACUGUCGAAGUUCGUGAGGCAGUGA